RNAcentral lists this ribosomal RNA (499 nucleotides) under uncultured Lachnospiraceae bacterium. RNAcentral's name for it is "partial 16S ribosomal RNA". Lineage: Bacteria; Bacillati; Bacillota; Clostridia; Lachnospirales; Lachnospiraceae. The record is from RNAcentral.
CACGUAGUUAGCCGGGGCUUCUUAGUCAGGUACCGUCAUUUUCUUCCCUGCUGAUAGAGCUUUACAUACCGAAAUACUUCCUCACUCACGCGGCGUCGCUGCAUCAGGGUUUCCCCCAUUGUGCAAUAUUCCCCACUGCUGCCUCCCGUAGGAGUUUGGGCCGUGUCUCAGUCCCAAUGUGGCCGUUCACCCUCUCAGGCCGGCUACUGAUCGUCGCUUUGGUAGGCCGUUACCCUGCCAACUGGCUAAUCAGACGCGGGUCCAUCUCAUACUGAUAAAUCUUUUCCGUCUGUAUCAUGCGAUACUAGCGGGUUAUGCGGUAUUAGCGGUCGUUUCCAACUGUUAUCCCCCUGUAUGAGGUAGGUUACCCACGCGUUACUCACCCGUCCGCCACUCAGUCACAAAGGCUUUCAUCCGAAGAAUCUUUCCCAAGUGCUUCGUUCGACUUGCAUGUGUUAAGCACGCCGCCAGCGUUCAUCCUGAGCCAGGAUCAAACUCU